ACUCCUACGGGAGGCAGCAGUGGGGAAUAUUGCACAAUGGGGGAAACCCUGAUGCAGCCAUGCCGCGUGUGUGAAGAAGGCCUUCGGGUUGUAAAGCACUUUCAGUAGGGAGGAAGGUAGUGUAGUUAACACCUGCAUUAUUUGACGUUACCUACAGAAGAAGCACCGGCUAACUCCGUGCCAGCAGCCGCGGUAAUACGGAGGGUGCGAGCGUUAAUCGGAAUUACUGGGCGUAAAGCGCAUGCAGGCGGCCUGUUAAGUCAGAUGUGAAAGCCCGGGGCUUAACCUCGGAAUUGCAUUUGAAACUGGCAGGCUAGAGUCUUGUAGAGGGGGGUAGAAUUUCAGGUGUAGCGGUGAAAUGCGUAGAGAUCUGAAGGAAUACCAGUGGCGAAGGCGGCCCCCCUGGAC
This 408-nucleotide ribosomal RNA is filed under the name uncultured bacterium. RNAcentral describes it as "bacterial SSU rRNA". It matches the Rfam family "Bacterial small subunit ribosomal RNA", at positions 335 to 734 of the family's 1533-position model. The record is from RNAcentral.